This 401-nucleotide ribosomal RNA is filed under the name Cryptosporidium parvum. RNAcentral's name for it is "SSU rRNA". It matches the Rfam family "Eukaryotic small subunit ribosomal RNA", at positions 673 to 1082 of the family's 1831-position model. The record is from RNAcentral. Lineage: Eukaryota; Apicomplexa; Conoidasida; Eucoccidiorida; Cryptosporidiidae.
AUUUAUAUAAAAUAUUUUGAUGAAUAUUUAUAUAAUAUUAACAUAAUUCAUAUUACUAUAUAUUUUAGUAUAUGAAAUUUUACUUUGAGAAAAUUAGAGUGCUUAAAGCAGGCAUAUGCCUUGACAUACUCCAGCAUGGAAUAAUAUUAAAGAUUUUUAUCUUUCUUAUUGGUUCUAAGAUAAGAAUAAUGAUUAAUAGGGACAGUUGGGGGCAUUUGUAUUUAACAGUCAGAGGUGAAAUUCUUAGAUUUGUUAAAGACAAACUAAUGCGAAAGCAUUUGCCAAGGAUGUUUUCAUUAAUCAAGAACGAAAGUUAGGGGAUCGAAGACGAUCAGAUACCGUCGUAGUCUUAACCAUAAACUAUGCCAACUAGAGAUUGGAGGUUGUUCCUUACUCCUUCA